This 254-nucleotide ribosomal RNA is filed under the name uncultured Methanosaeta sp. RNAcentral's name for it is "partial 16S ribosomal RNA". It matches the Rfam family "Archaeal small subunit ribosomal RNA", at positions 357 to 615 of the family's 1478-position model. Lineage: Archaea; Methanobacteriati; Methanobacteriota; Methanomicrobia; Methanotrichales; Methanotrichaceae. The record is from RNAcentral.
GCGGGACGUGAUAGGGGAUCUCGAGUGCCAGCAUAUAAUGUUGGCUGUCCAGAUGCCUAAAAAGCAUCUGUUUGCAAGGGCCGGGCAAGACCGGUGCCAGCCGCCGCGGUAACACCGGCGGCCCGAGUGGUAACCGCUAUUAUUGGGUCUAAAGGGUCUGUAGCCGGCCAGGUAAGUCCCUUGGGAAAUCUGGCAGCUCAACUGCCAGGCUGCUAGGGGAUACUGUUUGGCUUGGGACCGGGAGAGGUGAGAGG